This 465-nucleotide ribosomal RNA is filed under the name uncultured bacterium. RNAcentral's name for it is "bacterial SSU rRNA". It matches the Rfam family "Bacterial small subunit ribosomal RNA", at positions 329 to 792 of the family's 1533-position model. The record is from RNAcentral.
CUCCAGACUCCUACGGGAGGCAGCAGUGAGGAAUAUUGGUCAAUGGCCGAGAGGCUGUACCAGCCAAGUCGCGUGAGGGAAGAAUGUCCUAAGGAUUGUAAACCUCUUUUGUCGGGGAGCAAAAAGGCUCUGCGGAGUCGUAUUGAGAGUACCCGAAGAAAAAGCAUCGGCUAACUCCGUGCCAGCAGCCGCGGUAAUACGGAGGAUGCGAGCGUUAUCCGGAUUUAUUGGGUUUAAAGGGUGCGCAGGCGGCGUGUCAAGCAAGCGGUAAAAUGGGGGGGCUCAACCCCGUCGAGCCGUUGAAACUGGGUGCCUUGAGUGGGCGAGAAGUACGCGGAAUGCGUGGUGUAGCGGUGAAAUGCAUAGAUAUCACGCAGAACUCCGAUUGCGAAGGCAGCGUACCGGCGCCCAACUGACGCUGAAGCACGAAGGCGUGGGUAUCGAACAGGAUUAGAUACCCUUGUA